GACGAACGCUAGCGGCGUGCUUAACACAUGCAAGUCGAACGAUGAUGCUGGAGCUUGCUCCAGUUGAUUAGUGGCGAACGGGUGAGUAACACGUGAGCAAUCUGCCCUUGACUCUGGGAUAACUGCGGGAAACUGUAGCUAAUACCGGAUACUUUCACCGGAAGGCAUCUUCUGGUGAUGAAAGAAUUUCGGUCAGGGAUGAGCACGCGGCCUAUCAGCUUGUUGGUGAGGUAACGGCUCACCAAGGCGACGACGGGUAACCGGCCUGAGAGGGUGACCGGUCACACUGGGACUGAGACACGGCCCAGACUCCUACGGGAGGCAGCAGUGGGGAAUAUUGCACAAUGGGCGCAAGCCUGAUUCAGCAACGCCGCGUGAGGGAUGAAGGCCUUCGGGUUGUAAACCUCUUUUAGCAGGGAAGAAGCGAAAGUGACGGUACCUGCAGAAAAAGCACCGGCUAACUACGUGCCAGCCGCCGCCGUAA
Molecule: ribosomal RNA, 484 nt
Filed under: uncultured bacterium
Lineage: Bacteria
Description: partial 16S ribosomal RNA
Rfam family: Bacterial small subunit ribosomal RNA
Source: RNAcentral